This 253-nucleotide ribosomal RNA is filed under the name uncultured bacterium. RNAcentral describes it as "partial 16S ribosomal RNA". It matches the Rfam family "Bacterial small subunit ribosomal RNA", at positions 524 to 776 of the family's 1533-position model. The record is from RNAcentral.
GACGGAGGAUGCAAGCGUUACCCGGAAUGAUUGGGCGUAAAGCGUCCGCAGGUGGCAGUUCAAGUCUGCUGUCAAAGACCGGGGCUUAACUUCGGAAAGGCAGUGGAAACUGAACAGCUAGAGUAUGGUAGGGGCAGAGGGAAUUCCUGGUGUAGCGGUGAAAUGCGUAGAGAUCAGGAAGAACAUCGGUGGCGAAGGCGCUCUGCUGGACCAUAACUGACACUCAGGGACGAAAGCUAGGGGAGCGAAUGGG